CAGCAAACCUCCUUCCAGGAGGAGCCGCGGCCAAGCCUGCCCCUCCUGAGUCGCGGGCUGGCGCUGUCAGUUCUUGCGACGAUGAGGGCCACGCGGUCGUCCGACCCCCAACCUCUGUCUGGUCAAACAUCGUGUUCAAAUUCCUGAUGGCCUUCAAGUCAGAGGCCUGGGUUGAAACCAUUUGGAGAGUUUCUGAGAGAGUGUAUCACACGGCCUUUGGAGUCAGACACGCCGGGGUUGGAGUCCUGCCACGCACCGCACUACCUGGGAAGCUGGGGCUGUAGGUGCCUUCUCCACAUUCCUUCUCGGGGAGCGGAGCCCUCUAAAGCCACGCUCUCAUCCCGACGUUCUCAAGUAUGGUUUGCGGUGAACUGAGAGCUCAGACAUGACUGUUUGCUUGUUAAGCUUGUUCCUCAUUGCAAGCCCGAAGAAAAACCUGCCAAAAAUCAC
Molecule: long non-coding RNA, 450 nt
Filed under: Equus caballus (horse)
Lineage: Eukaryota; Metazoa; Chordata; Mammalia; Perissodactyla; Equidae
Description: lncRNA (ENSECAG00000055537.1)
Source: RNAcentral